GGGGAAUAUUGGACAAUGGGGGCAACCCUGAUCCAGCAAUUCUGUGUGCACGAUGAAGGUUUUCGGAUUGUAAAGUGCUUUCAGCAGGGAAGAAAAAAAUGACGGUACCUGCAGAAGAAGCGACGGCUAAAUACGUGCCAGCAGCCGCGGUAAUACGUAUGUCGCAAGCGUUAUCCGGAAUUAUUGGGCAUAAAGGGCAUCUAGGCGGUCAGAUAAGUCUGGGGUGAAAACUUGCGGCUCAACCGCAAGCCUGCCCUGGAAACUAUGUGGCUAGAGUACUGGAGAGGUGGACGGAACUGCACGAGUAGAGGUGAAAUUCGUAGAUAUGUGCAGGAAUGCCGAUGAUGAAGAUAGUUCACUGGACGGUAACUGACGCUGAAGUGCGAAAGCUAGGGGAGCAAACAGGAUUAGAUACCCUGGUAGUCCUAGCUGUAAACGAUGAUUACUGGGUGUGGGCAUGAAGAGUGUCCGUGCCGAAGCUAAUGCGAUAAGUAAUCCGCCUGGGGAGUACGGCCGCAAGGCUG
This 524-nucleotide ribosomal RNA is filed under the name uncultured bacterium. RNAcentral's name for it is "bacterial SSU rRNA". It matches the Rfam family "Bacterial small subunit ribosomal RNA", at positions 356 to 896 of the family's 1533-position model. The record is from RNAcentral.